Molecule: ribosomal RNA, 119 nt
Filed under: Capra hircus (goat)
Lineage: Eukaryota; Metazoa; Chordata; Mammalia; Artiodactyla; Bovidae
Source: RNAcentral
GUCUACGGCCAUACCACCCUGCACGUGCCCGAUCUCGUCUGAUCUCAGAAGCUAAGCAGGGUCGGGCCUGGUUAGUACUUGGAUGGGAGACCACCUGGGAUUACCAGGUGCUGUAGGCU